UACUUUCUUCCGAACCCCUUUUUUCAUGACCAUAAAUCAAAAUGAGUAGGUUUGUAAGCUUAUGUUUCAUGGUGAAGUAACAAAGUGUAAGUAAAAGUACGUAGUCAUUUCAUAAAGGCUCGACCAUGUUGGGCCUAUUUCGUAGAAUCACUAGGUCGGAGGUAUUCGCAUUGUGACGUUGGCCGCAUCACAACUAGACUAUAUAUUCAGUCAGCAAACCUCCCCUUCUUAACACUGCGUCGAUGCGAUUUCGUCGUCUAUCUUAUGCGGUCCGGUCGUUGUGAUUUUAUUUAAAUUUUCCGAAUCGCUUAUUGGGCUUCUUUUAUUUGAGAAGUGCGUAAUGAUAGCGUUAACUGUAGUAUAACAGGUUUAAUAGCAGCAGUGUAGUGUGAAAAUAGUUGAAGUUGACCAGAUAAUGUAGGUAUGCUACUGUAGCUAACGUCAUUCGACGCCUAGAUGUGUUAUAUAUAGCUUUCUAGCGACAGAUUGUACAUCAUUUUGUAUUCAACUAAAAACAAACAAGGUGACGUUAAGUCAUAGCAACUCGCUAGCUAAGGACAUUUUUGAAUUCUGACGUGUCAGUUGACAAAAGUCAAGAUGAUAGUCACAAGAACGAGAUUAACGUUAGGUGGCAGGGUCUUAUUUUUAGCAGCGGCGCUUACGUCAUUUACCUCAGAAGUAUGCUUAUUUCAACUGAAUUGGCAUCUCGGUAUUAAUUAUAAGCCAAGUAACGUAGCGAAACAAUUUAUUUUAAAGAGUUUGCCAAACAAAAGAUGCGUCUUGUGGCGCACUUGUAGGCCCGACUCAAAAUGGCGAUUAGGGAGAAAUGGAUGUCCUGGGGAUUCAGCGCUGAGAACAGCUGGUGCAGUUAUCUGAAUUCCAAGCUACUGUUAUUUCGAAGAUCAGAAAAUCAGGUUGUAUAAGACGCGUUAUCAAAAGAACCAAGUUACAAUUCAAUGAACGUAUGAAAGAUGGAACGACGUUCCAUUUAUCCGAAGCAGUAUAGUUACUUCAAUGCGUUUAUUUUUUCCGUUUUCCUAAAAUGAACAAUGCGUUACAAGAAAAUAACCAUAUGAAGCCUUGUGAAUACGAAGCUAAUAUGCAAGUUACUAAGAUAAUCUUGUGAAGAAUUGUGACGUCAUAAGAAUAGCCAGCUAAAUGUUUGAAUAGUAGAUGUUGGGCAGCGGUCUCAGGCAGUUUAGCUAACUUCAAGUGGUGUCGCAAGUUGCUCACAUAUCAUGAAGUACAUUUUAUACCGAAUAAGAUUCAGCAAUAGAAGUUGGGUGAAUAUCAGAUGCAUUUAAGCGGUUUUAUUUUAAGCCUAAAAUGACGAACAAGUGGAGCUGCUGAUAGUUGCUUACAUAUGGACAAUCGUUAAAAAAAAGUUAAUGAAGGAAGCAAGUUUCAAGACUAAUACCUUGUGGAAAGCUAUGAUGCCUUUUGAGAAUAGCCAACAACAAAUUGAAGAAUGAAAGUUGGGUGUGGCCCAUUUAUCAGACGUGUUUUACUAACUUCAAGACGUUUUUGUUGUUUUUACUUGACCUGAAGAACAAGUUCUGAUUGUUGUCUACUUGUCAGGGGGAAAAAUCUGUAUAGGUAACCUGAAAGAAAAAAGCUACUAAACUUAACGAUAUGAAACGUGAAUCCUUAUUCAUUUGAAUAGCAAGCAAAGUAUUGGAAGAGAAUUUGGCCUGACGGUGCCUGUAUCAGUCAUUUGAGCUACUUCAAGAAUUAAAUCUUUUAAACAAAAUGAUGAAAAGAUGUGCUGCUGAUUAAGUAUCCAAGUGAAGUGGUCGCAUUAAGAGAACGUGCUGUAAUUCAAGGAAUCACAGGAAAAGCGUUUGGUAAUGGUGUGGUAAAGCGUUUAUUUUCCUGGUCACAACCCUUUCCUGUGUGCCUGCGUGUCUGCUGUGAUGAGUCCCCCUUGGCCUUCUUGGUAGAGUGGGCUGGUGAGAGGAGGACCGUCUUAAAAGGAUUUCAGCCUCCUGCAGCACAGAUGUAGUGCCCCCGGGGCGGAGUUUCUCCUGUCAUUGAGUUCAAUAGGUCUGCGCCCCAAGAUGUGGUCUACAUGGGAGUGUGUUGAGUGGGAGGUCUUCUGUACGUCCGUACCACAACGCCCCUUUGGUGCUGAGCAGCUACAUCUGCUGGUUAAAGUGAGCAGUGAGUUUAAAUGCAUGAUAUGAUCACGUGCGGAGUAACUAUUCCCCUAGCUAAAUAUUGAAAUCAAAUUUACAUUUGCCUUCGUAUUGGUAACUAGGGGAUUAUCCCUGAAUUUGUGUUUAGUCUGGUGUUAUUGGUCGAACUGUAGUGCCUUUGUGGAUGGGGGGGGACGUUUUCCGAGUUCUUCUUUUCACAGGCUCGGCCCUUAAAGCAAAGCUGACCAUCCAAGGGAGUCCCUCUUUAGUACUACCUACCACGUUAAUCAAAAAGAGUUGGACGUCAUGUAAACGAUAGUUCUAAGGAUGGAUCAAGUGACACCUCUGGCGUUAAAGUGAUGUAGGAAGGUAUUUUGUGCUGGUUUUCUGUAGUGAGUUGAUCACAUUUGAAUAUGUACUACCAUACUUAUGUUAAGUGUUUUUCUUCCAAUGCAUUUUAACUGGGCAGACAUCAUUUGGGUCUUGGGAGGGUUGUGGGGGGUGUUAAUCCAAAUUUCUUCCAAGAAUUCUUUCACACAGCUUCGUGUAAAGCAGCAUUUAAAGAUCCAAAUGGCUAGCAUUGAGGUUUGGGGAGCAAGGAAUCAACCGGGUGGUCCACAUCUUUCGGUGUCCGUUUUGCCUUGUGGUGUAGAGAUUCCUCGGUGUCUACAAGGGUCUAGCAAGUGGCGGGCCACGUUUUGGGAAGUCGACUCGUAUUCUCCCAGGGAGUGUGGUAAUGGUCACCUUUAGAUUGACACAUUCUAUGUCAUGGAGUAUGAAGUUGCAUUUGGGGGUUUCUGGGGUCAGGGGACUGCUUAAUUGUGACUUUUCCAGAUUAUUAUGUGACCCAACCGUUCAAUGAAAGAACAACUAGAGGUCCACGUCUACCCCCGUGUGUCUUAAGGAGAAACGGUGACGCAGAGGCCAGUGCUAUUUUAAAGUUUUUUCUGUGGAAAGUUAAUGAUUUGGUAUUUCUCCAAAUUCGGAUAUUUUCAUUGUAUAUUAGCAACUGUAAAUACAAUUUGAUACUGUAAUUGUCAUGGUUGGUUACUGUUUGGGUAUGUGUGGGGGGGAAUGGUGGAAGGCUUGUUUUCCCUUCUGCAUUUUUCAGUGUGCUGUGUCCUGCGUUUUCAAUACUCAAGACCAACAGGAACACCCCUAACUCAUUGUAUGUAAAGGUUUUCUAUCACUUCAAAAUGCCUCGCAAGGUCUCAAGUAAGGUCACUUACAAAUGUGUUAACAUUUCCCUUUUUAAUAUUUCAUUAGUUUAACAUUUGGCAACGCAUAAAUUGCACUCUCUUUGCAAAUUAGUUAAUGUUUUGUAUUGAUGCAACAGAGCUAUCUGUAAAGGAUUCAUAAUUGGUAAUAAAUGCAUAGCUUAUUGUGAUUGAAGACAUUUUUGUUAUGCAUUUGUUCUUUGGGGGAAUCUUGUCUGGGGGGCUUUUCUUGUGCUUUUUCAGGUAUGUCUUAGCUUGGUGCUUUUAGAGCAUGGAAGUGACCUGGGCUUGAUGGCAGCUCUUACAUGGUGGAAAGUGAAGGUUUCAGAUAAGUUCAAUCCAGCUCAUAUCCGUGUCUGAAUAUGGGGGAAAAUCAAGAUAUGGAACAUGGCUGUCUGAAUGGUCCUUAUUGUGGCCUCAGUUGAUUAUUCUUGAAUAGAGAAGCAUCUACCUAGCAAUGCAACGUCUCAGCACUACUUGUGAUAUGUAGAAGUUGCACUGCUGUGCUUUCCCUAUGGGUGCAAAUCUCUUCUGUUCCAACAGGAAGAUUUGGUGGAAACCCUUUGCUUUAUAGUUGACAUAAAAUUUACUUUGGCUAUGUGGGUAACAUGUGGGUUCUGGUGAGGGUGGGUAUAGGGGUGUUGUCUGCUUUUGAUCUUGCAGAAUUGCAAAAGCCCUACCGGAGAAUGCCAUCUACCAGUGACGUGACCACAGGAAUCGCACCGUCCUUUGACCUCGUCUCAACACAGGCAGGACAGUUUGAGCACGUUUGUUACAUUCAAGGCCAUUUCUAGCUUUACCUAUUAGAUCUCCUCAGCUACCAGCUCUUGUGCAACUGUUCAAGGACAGUCAGUUGUAUCAUAGUAGCUUUUGAACUGUAAAGCAUUUGGUUUAAUUAUUUUGCAGCAGUCGCGCAACUGUGUGACAGCUUUCCCAAAUGAAGGUAGCUGAGGAACACUGCGCAACUGUGCAGCUGUAAUUUGAACUGAGUGCAGCGCAAAUGUGUUGCUUUUGGAUUGGUAUUUGUUGGGCUUGGGAGGGGAAUUGUGCACUUUUUCUCUACAGAAAUCAGUGAGCCUGGCGCAAGCACGUAUGAUGUCUUCUAACCUGGAACAUGUAGGAAGAUGUUUACCUCUUUCACUAUUCAUUUAAUAAGACCCCUGUCAUGUUUUAGUUUGACUCAAUGGACAUCUUGAACUGGAUUUCUGUUAACCAUAGUCAAGCAAUGCUUUUAGCUGCAUAUACCUCACCCCCUUUGGCCCAGAGCCCUACAGCUUUGCAUCUUUAACUAAGUUAAGAAACGUCAUGUAGGUGUUGUGAGUACUGUGGUGGGAGAAUGUUUGUGUCGACACCUCUUCGUUUCAGAUCAUUCUCUCGUUUCACUGUCCGCUACGAUUGCGCCUCCUGCAUCUGAAUGUAUCAGCCGCCGGGAACUGUCAGCAAAUGAGUGUGCCCCCUGAAUGAAGUACCUACCAUCUCUCCCUCUAUUGGCUUGAGCUUAAAGUCAGCCCCGCCCGAUGUUCUUCACCGUCUCCUCUCCCUCUGUGCUGUUUGUUCCUUUCCUUUACCCCUUUUGGUUUCUCAGGUGACUAUUUCUCAAUCUGAAGUAAAAUGGUCUUGAAUUGGCAUCUGUGAUCCGCCCCGUAACUGCGUAAUGGAACACUGAGAACCCAGUCACUUUCAGAUGAAGAGCCACAAGCUUGUCUUGCUGCUAAUUGAGCAUCUCUUCAGUUUCUUGUUUACUAAGUUAAGUCAUUUUGGUUCCCAUUUGACUUUGAACACACUACGGCUGUGUAAUUCAACCCUUUGUCUGCAUGCACAACAGCUCUACAUAACAUUAAGAUUUUUUUUAAAUGCAUAACCUAAAUGUUCCAUGUAGCUAUUGCGUAAAAUGGGCACAUUCCAGUAGUUUGGGUGGACGCAGGGAGGGUGGGGGGCAACAUUUCUUUCUUUCUUCCUUUCAGAUAUCUCUUGAGUCAACUUCUGUUUCUACGGCGCACUGGGACAGCUCACAGCUGCAGAGUCACAGGAAGUUGGUCUGUCUUGGUUUGAUCCAGUUCUGGGAAGUUGAGUGUCAGUGUGGAGAAACUGUCUGGGUGCGGUUUGUACCGUUUCGGUCAGUCACAGUAAAUGUCCAAAGAUGUCAAUUUCAGAGAAUAUCAGGUUUUGCGGGGGGGGGGUGGUAAUUGUCUCUUACAGAGUCAAAUUUAAGCGGUUGAUCCUCGCUAGUUUGACUAACCUCUGAAUCUGGACCAGUGUCAGUAAUCUAGUUUCAUGUAUCAUGGCUGAAACUUAGUAAUGUUGUGGAAUAUUUCUUAUGGCAUUUAGUGCACCAAUGUAGUGACUUUGGGGGGGGCGACCUUUAAUUUUCCUCUAGUUUCAGGCACGCGACGAAGCUAAAGUCCUCUGGUUCGUGUAGAGCAGCAGGUAGUAAGGGUUUUUCUUUUCCUGGGAGAACAAACCAUUUGGUUUUUGUUCUUCCAGGUUUUGCUUUUUGUCCUUACACAACAAAAAAAGCAAAAGACUCCGGUGGUGGCACUCCUGAUUCCUCAGGAUGGGGUUCAAUUCCCUGCGAAGUCUUUGCUUUUUUCAACCUGCUGCUGAGCCAGGGAAUAGUUAAACAGGGGAACCUAGGUACUUUAAGUUUUACUGCGAUUAUAAAUUAAAGUAUUGAAUAAUCUGUCGUUUAUAGAUGGGUUAGCUGACAACGUCAAUGUGGCUAAAGUUGUGAUUCUGGAUGGCCAAGUGCUACUAACAAUGACAAUCUGCCAUGUCUGACUCAUAAGUGACUUGUUUCUUCUUGAUACCACAUCUUGUUUUGACUGAUGUAAUGUCAAUGCUAGUAUGACAAAUUUGCAUGCUAACCCACUAACAAUGUAUUUAAGACUAGUGCAAAUGUAAUUGUUUUCAAUUAACAUUGGAGACUAAAUAUAUUCGACAUGUCAACAAUCUAAGCCAACCUAGUCUGGUUUGCCCCGUAGUUGCGCAUGGGUUAGUUACAUUGCUGAAAAAUCAACCUGUCUUGAGGCUGUUAACCCAUUAAAUCCCGACUUGUUCCCAGACAUGAAAAUAUCCAUAUCUUGUGUCAUUAGUAAGCCUUUGAAAUAAUCAAUCAUACUUUGUUUUCAUGGAAAAGUAGGUAAAAAUUGUGUUAUGGUUGGUCACAAUUGUGACGUGGGAUAAUGUAAUGUAUACUGAAUUAACAUAUGCAGUCAUGAAAAUGCAUAUAUCCCAGCCCAGUUAUUAACGCAUGUAAAACUCACUGGCAGUCCCCAGCAUUGCUACUAGAAUGCCCCAUCACAUUCUAGUGGGACUAUUUUAACAUAUCGAAAACCUUUAUACAACACCGAUAUGAAUACUGAGAGCAAAAACAAAUCAACGUAUUUCAACAUUGUUACUUUAGUGCAACAUGUAUUGUAACAUUUGAACUUGUGCAACAUUCAUUUUAACAUUGUCAUUGACGUUUUAGUGCAACAUUCACUAACUUUAUAGCAGUUGUGAUUCAUUCACAUUGAACAAAGGUAACAUUUAGGCUAGGUAGCCUGUAGAACAUGCAUUCAAGUAGAGGCCUACACUGAACAAAAUAAUAUAAAUAUAUAUUUUUGGAUUACAGUAUGACAGAUCGUAGUUCAAAAUAGUAAUGCACAAACUAAUCGUGCACUUGGUUCUGAAGCCUACCUCUAUUUAUAUACACUAUUUUGAACUACGAUCAGUCAGAUACUGUAAUACAGUAUGUCUUGACUCAAUUGAUCCUCUGUUCCAAAAACAUUUCAGUCAUUUGUCUUUUUCCAUUUCUUGACUUUUCUUCCUAAAGUCCAUUGUACUGCUUCUCCUCACACUUGAUUGACUUAUUUGCUUUUUCAGCCCUUUUCAUUCUCUCUUCUCGUCUCUUUUUCUGUCCAUGGGGCGGCAGCGUAGCCUAGUGGUUAGAGCGUUGGACUUGUAACAAAGGUUGCAAGAUCGAAUCCCUGAGCUGAGAAGGUAUAAAUCUGUCUUUCUGCCCCUGAACAAGGCAGUUAACCCACUGUUCCUAGGCAGUCAUUGAAAAUAAGAAUUUGUACUUAACUGACUUGCCUAGUUAAAUAAAGGUAAAAUAAAUUUUUCUUUAAAACAUCUUGAAGCACUCAAUGUGGAUAGGUAGUGUGUUUGUCACGACGACGUCUAUGGAACCGGUGCAUCGUGUUGAUUGGCCAGUGAGAGGCUUGUUAUAUCUUGACUGAUCUUCAAUAGUAGCCAGUAGCUCUCCUGUGGUUUCGUGCCAAACUUUUGCAUAAUAGGCUGCCACUAUCCAUGAGAAGCGGAGCAGGAGCAAGAUAUGACAAAGCUCACUGGCCAAUCAACACGACACAUCUCUGUAAAAUGUUUUUUUUUUUUUUUUUAGGCCAGUAGAGCCCUGAGCAGCAAGCCAUUGGCGAGUUGGAUACUACCAAUACAUGUCCUGAGUGCAUAAGGAGAUUACUGUGACUCAGUGGUCACGUUGAAUUUUACUAUGGUCAUGACUGCGGGUGUGGCGGUAGGACGGUCACCGCAACAGCCCUAUGGUCAACCAUCCUCCAGGAGAGCUAAUGGUUGUGCAGGCUUUUAUACCAGUCCCUCUAACAAACCAUAUUAGAGAAAUUAGCUGCUCAACUGGACCUUGAUAAACUGCCUCUCUUUGAGCAGGGCUUAAUCAGAAGGGCUUGCACACCCAGUAUCUCUCCAGACUGAGGGUUGACCAUGUGUUUUAAUACAGUUGUCUAACAGGUAUUGUACUUUGUGGGUGGUUAAGUGCCUUGCAUAAUGGCAGGAGAUGGUACAUGGGAUCAGAGAGCAGCCUCCCAUUGUCAAUAUGACAUUACUCUUACUUUUUUUGUACGUACAUAGCGACUUAGAAUGUGGGUAAAAGUCAUGAAAGUCCAUCUGUCAAAAUGUGUUUAGUAUGCACCCCUCAUGACAGAGUUAAUAUCAAUCAGCUUUAUUAAACAUUGUGUUCCAAUAUGCAGAGAUCGAUGUUUUGACAUUUUACAUAUCUUCAAUAAAUUGUCCAACUGUCUGUUUCCAUGUAUACAAUUGUCUCAAUUACACAACCAACUAUGCCUGAAUGUCAGGAGAAACUGGAAUUUGACUGGAUUUUUUUGGGGGGUUUAGUCUAUUGGUUGGGUGUGAGUAUCAUGACUUGCAGUUUGAGACAUGAGAGAACUGUUGGAAAUGGUGUCGUUACUGUAUGAACAUAAAAUCAAUUAACAGUAAAAAAAAAAAUGGCAUACUAUCAUUACAAUUAAAACUUGUGUUCAAUCUUGACCUUUCAAUUUCUCUGGCUUUAUUUGGGUUACACAUGUCUCAAUGCGCUUUUUUUAAAUGAAAGAAAUAAGCCAAUUUUAGCGGCCAGAUUUUUUUAAUGAAUCAUGAAAUGUUUAUUUUAUUAGUGAGUACAGUAAGCCUAUAUGACCAAGGAAUUCAGGGGGGAGGGUUGUCCCUAUAAGGCCUGUUAUUGAUCAGCACAGUACCAGAGGCAAUGGUGCAUGUCAGGAGUACACCUGCACAGAACAGUCUCACAUACUGCUUCUCUAAUUUAUUACUAAAUAAACAAACAGGUCCCGUGUGGCUCAAUUGGUCGAGUUUGGCACCUUCAACGCCAGGUUUGUUGGUUCAAUUUCCACCGGGGAUCAGUACGAAAUGAAAGUGUGCACUUAAAAAAAAUAUAUAUUUCACCUUUAUUUAACCAGGUAGGCCAGUUGAGAACAAGUUCUCAUUUACAACUGCGACCUGGCUAAGAUAAAGCAAAGCAGUGCGACACAAACAACAACACGAGUUACACA
This 9150-nucleotide long non-coding RNA is filed under the name Salmo salar (Atlantic salmon). The record is from RNAcentral. Lineage: Eukaryota; Metazoa; Chordata; Actinopteri; Salmoniformes; Salmonidae.